Molecule: ribosomal RNA, 497 nt
Filed under: uncultured bacterium
Lineage: Bacteria
Description: partial 16S ribosomal RNA
Rfam family: Bacterial small subunit ribosomal RNA
Source: RNAcentral
GAUGAACGCUGGCGGCGUGCCUAAUACAUGCAAGUCGAGCGAACAGACGAGGAGCUUGCUCCUUCGACGUUAGCGGCGCACGGGUGAGUAACACGUAGGUAACCUACCUAUAAUACUGGGAUAACUUCGGGAAACCGGAGCUAAUACCGGAUAAUAUUUCGAACCGCAUGGUUCGAUAGUGAAAGAUGGCUUUGCUAUCACUUAUAGAUGGACCUGCGCCGUAUUAGCUAGUUGGUAAGGUAACGGCUUACCAAGGCAACGAUACGUAGCCGACCUGAGAGGGUGAGCGGCCACACUGGAACUGAGACACGGUCCAGACUCCUAGGGGAGGCAGCAGGAGGGAAUCUGCCGCAAUGGGCGAAAGCCUGACGGAGCAACGCCGCGUGAGGGAGGAAGGUCGUCGGAUCGUAAAACUCUGUUAUUAGGGAAGAACAAACGUGUAAGUAACUGUGCACGUCUUGACGGUAACUAAUUAGAAAGCCACGGCUAACUACGUG